GAGGGUAUAGCUCAGUGGUAGGACAUGUGCUUAGCAUGCAUGAGGUCCUGGGUUCAAUCCCCAGUUCCUCCA
Molecule: transfer RNA, 72 nt
Organism: Camelus ferus (Wild Bactrian camel)
Lineage: Eukaryota; Metazoa; Chordata; Mammalia; Artiodactyla; Camelidae
Rfam family: tRNA
About the family: Transfer RNA (tRNA) molecules are approximately 80 nucleotides in length. Their secondary structure includes four short double-helical elements and three loops (D, anti-codon, and T loops).
Source: Rfam